UACGAAGGGGGCUAGCGUUACUCGGAUUGACUGGGCGUAAAGGGCGCGUAGGCGGUUCGUACAGUCAGACGUGAAAUUCCUGGGCUCAACCUGGGGGCUGCGUUUGAUACGUGCGGGCUUGAGUUCGGAAGAGGGUCGUGGAAUUCCCAGUGUAGAGGUGAAAUUCGUAGAUAUUGGGAAGAACACCGGUGGCGAAGGCGGCGACCUGGUCCGAUACUGACGCUGAGGCGCGAAAGCGUGGGGAUCAAACAGG
This 253-nucleotide ribosomal RNA is filed under the name uncultured bacterium. Its description in RNAcentral is "partial 16S ribosomal RNA". It matches the Rfam family "Bacterial small subunit ribosomal RNA", at positions 524 to 776 of the family's 1533-position model. The record is from RNAcentral.